This 328-nucleotide unclassified non-coding RNA is filed under the name soil metagenome. RNAcentral's name for it is "partial contains 5.8S ribosomal RNA, internal transcribed spacer 2, and large subunit ribosomal RNA". The stretch from base 1 to 119 matches the Rfam family "5.8S ribosomal RNA", at positions 35 to 154 of the family's 154-position model. The record is from RNAcentral.
GAUGAAGAACGCAGCGAAAUGCGAUAAGUAAUGCGAAUUGCAGAAUCCGUGAGUCAUCGAAUCUUUGAACGCACAUUGCGCCCCUUGGUAUCCCGAGGGGCAUGCCUGUUCGAGCGUCAUUUCACCACUCAAGCCUGGCUUGGUGUUGGGCGACGUCCCCUUUAGGGACGCGCCUCGAAACGCUCGGCGGCGUGGCACCGGCUUUAAGCGUAGCAGAAUCUUUCGCUUUGGAAGUCGGGGCCCCGCCUGCCGGAAUACCUACUCGUAAGGUUGACCUCGGAUCAGGCAGGGAUACCCGCUGAACUUAAGCAUAUCAAUAAGCGGAGGA